CUUCCMAAUACAGCUUUGCUGUAGGUGUCUCAUUCUGAAAAUCAGUAUUUGUCUUUAUUGCUCUUUUAGCCCCUACUUUUGGAGCUGUAUGGAUCUUCUGCCAGCUUUUGGGUCACCUGGAAUGGUCCGGGCAUUCCCAUGUAAGCAGGAAAGAGCUACUCCUUCCAGUGUCAGACUUGCUUUCUUGUCCAGCAGGUUAGAGAAAGCUAGGGCAUAA
This 217-nucleotide long non-coding RNA is filed under the name Dromaius novaehollandiae (emu). RNAcentral's name for it is "lncRNA (ENSDNVG00000010824.1)". The record is from RNAcentral. Lineage: Eukaryota; Metazoa; Chordata; Aves; Casuariiformes; Dromaiidae.